AUCCAGAUGACGAGCCCUAAAUAGGACGAAAUGCGCAUCCUGGAU
This is a non-coding RNA of Trichobilharzia regenti, 45 nucleotides long. The record is from Rfam. Lineage: Eukaryota; Metazoa; Platyhelminthes; Trematoda; Strigeidida; Schistosomatidae.